UGGGGAAUAUUGGACAAUGGGCGCAAGCCUGAUCCAGCAAUGCCGCGUGUGUGAAGAAGGCCUUCGGGUUGUAAAGCACUUUUAUCAGGAGCGAAACGCUGUCGGCUAAUACCCGGCGGAACUGACGGUACCUGAGGAAUAAGCACCGGCUAACUUCGUGCCAGCAGCCGCGGUAAUACGAAGGGUGCAAGCGUUAAUCGGAAUUACUGGGCGUAAAGCGUGCGUAGGCGGUUUCUUAAGUCUGCUGUGAAAUCCCCGGGCUCAACCUGGGAAUGGCGGUGGAUACUGGGAGGCUAGAGUGUGUCAGAGGGUGGUGGAAUUCCCGGUGUAGCGGUGAAAUGCGUAGAGAUCGGGAGGAACAUCAGUGGCGAAGGCGGCCACCUGGGACAACACUGACGCUGAGGCACGAAAGCGUGGGGAGCAAACAGGAUUAGAUACCCUGGUAGUCCACGCCCUAAAAGCGAUGCGAACUGGAUGUUGGUCUCAACUCGGAGAUCAGUGUCGAAGCUAACGCGUUAAGUUCGCCGCCUGGGGAGUACGGUCGCAAGACUGAAACUCAAAUGAAUUGACGGGGUCAUAGCUGUUUCCUG
This 590-nucleotide ribosomal RNA is filed under the name uncultured bacterium. Its description in RNAcentral is "partial 16S ribosomal RNA". It matches the Rfam family "Bacterial small subunit ribosomal RNA", at positions 355 to 1376 of the family's 1533-position model. The record is from RNAcentral.